This 422-nucleotide long non-coding RNA is filed under the name Gallus gallus (chicken). Lineage: Eukaryota; Metazoa; Chordata; Aves; Galliformes; Phasianidae. The record is from RNAcentral.
AGAUGUCCUUCUGGGAGCAGCCAUCACUUGUAACAGCUGAAAACAUGAAGUCUUCCAGGCUUCUCUUUUGAAGGCGUGACAACUCCAGUGCCAUCUGCAGAAUCUUUAUUACAGAGGUAGAAGUGAGAGGAGCACAGGGGAGCCGGCCCUCAGGUGCCACCGCCGCACAUGGGGAUGGGGGCACCCAGGCACCACAGCCCACUCCUCUGCAGCCACUGUGUCCCACUGUGUCCCUGUGGCCACUCAUGCUGCCCAUAGCCCCAUGGCAGCACUUCCCGCUCCACGAGCCCGCCCUUCAGCCGCAGCUUCUCACAGACCGUUUCACACUGAUCCUUUAAGUUGACCUCCAGCUUCCUGUUGAAGGAGGUCAGAAAGGUCAACUGCUUUAGGCCGUAAUCCUUCAAACCUCUUCCUCAACGCAG